GACCUCAAAUCAGGUAGGACUACCCGCUGAACUUAAGCAUAUCAAUAAGCGGAGGAAAAGAAACUAACAAGGAUUCCCCUAGUAACUGCGAGUGAAGCGGGAAAAGCUCAAAUUUAAAAUCUGGCGGUCUCUGGCCGUCCGAGUUGUAAUCUAGAGAAGUGUUAUCCGCGCUGGACCGUGUACAAGUCUCCUGGAAUGGAGCGUCAUAGAGGGUGAGAAUCCCGUCUUUGACACGGACUGCCAGGGCUUUUGUGAUGCGCUCUCAAAGAGUCGAGUUGUUUGGGAAUGCAGCUCAAAAUGGGUGGUAAAUUCCAUCUAAAGCUAAAUAUUGGCGAGAGACCGAUAGCGAACAAGUACCGUGAGGGAAAGAUGAAAAGAACUUUGGAAAGAGAGUUAAACAGUACGUGAAAUUGCUGAAAGGGAAACGCUUAAAGUCAGUCGYGUUGGCCGGGGAUCAACCUUGCUUUUGCUGGGCGUACUUUCCGGUCGACGGGUCAGCAUCAAUUUUGACCGUUGGAUAAAGUCUAGGGGAAUGUAGCAUCUUCGGAUGUGUUAUAGCCCUUGGUCACAUACAACGAUUGGGAUUGAGGAACUCAGCACGCCGCAAGGCCGGGUACUUGUACCACGUUCG
RNAcentral lists this ribosomal RNA (631 nucleotides) under uncultured fungus. RNAcentral's name for it is "eukaryotic LSU rRNA". It matches the Rfam family "Eukaryotic large subunit ribosomal RNA", at positions 1 to 620 of the family's 3401-position model. Lineage: Eukaryota; Fungi. The record is from RNAcentral.